Molecule: ribosomal RNA, 465 nt
Filed under: uncultured bacterium
Lineage: Bacteria
Description: partial 16S ribosomal RNA
Rfam family: Bacterial small subunit ribosomal RNA
Source: RNAcentral
CCUACGGGUGGCAGCAGUGGGGAAUAUUGCGCAAUGGGCGCAAGCCUGACGCAGCGACGCCGCGUGAGGGAUGAAGGUCUUCGGAUCGUAAACCUCUGUCAGCAGGGAAGAACGGUCACUGUGCUAAUCAGCAGUGAAUUGACGGUACCUGCAAAGGACGCACCGGCUAACUCCGUGCCAGCAGCCGCGGUAAUACGGAGGGUGCGAGCGUUAAUCGGAAUUACUGGGCGUAAAGCGCUCGUAGGCGGUAUGUCAAGUCAAGGGUGAAAUCCCCGGGCUCAACGUGGGAACUGCCUUUGAAACUGGCAAACUGGAGUGUGUGAGAGGAUAGUGGAAUUCCAGGUGUAGGAGUGAAAUGCGUAGAUAUCUGGAGGAACAUCAGUGGCGAAGGCGACUAUCUGGCACAUAACUGACGCUGAGGAGCGAAAGCGUGGGUAGCAAACAGGAUUAGAUACCCCAGUAGUC